RNAcentral lists this ribosomal RNA (433 nucleotides) under uncultured bacterium. RNAcentral's name for it is "partial 16S ribosomal RNA". It matches the Rfam family "Bacterial small subunit ribosomal RNA", at positions 29 to 507 of the family's 1533-position model. The record is from RNAcentral.
AACGAACGCUGGCGGCAUGCCUAACACAUGCAAGUCGAACGAGACCUUCGGGUCUAGUGGCGCACGGGUGCGUAACGCGUGGGAACCUGCCCUUAGGUUCGGAAUAACUCCCCGAAAGGGGUGCUAAUACCGGAUAAUGUCUUCGGACCAAAGAUUUAUCGCCUUUGGAUGGGCCCGCGUUGGAUUAGCUAGCUGGUAGGGUAAAAGCCUACCAAGGCGACGAUCCAUAGCUGGUCUGAGAGGAUGAUCAGCCACACUGGGACUGAGACACGGCCCAGACUCCUACGGGAAGCAGCAGUGGGGAAUAUUGGACAAUGGGCGAAAGCCUGAUCCAGCAAUGCCGCGUGAGUGAUGAAGGCCUUAGGGUUGUAAAGCUCUUUUACCCGGGAUGAUAAUGACAGUACCGGGAGAAUAAGCUCCGGCUAACUCCGUG